GGCUCUGUGGCGCAAUGGACUCCUAGUCAGAAAGAAGUGAUUCAAAGGUUGUGGGUUCAAGUCCCACCAGAGUCG
Molecule: transfer RNA, 75 nt
Filed under: Xiphophorus maculatus (southern platyfish)
Lineage: Eukaryota; Metazoa; Chordata; Actinopteri; Cyprinodontiformes; Poeciliidae
Rfam family: tRNA
About the family: Transfer RNA (tRNA) molecules are approximately 80 nucleotides in length. Their secondary structure includes four short double-helical elements and three loops (D, anti-codon, and T loops). Further hydrogen bonds mediate the characteristic L-shaped molecular structure. tRNAs have two regions of fundamental functional importance: the anti-codon, which is responsible for specific mRNA codon recognition, and the 3' end, to which the tRNAs corresponding amino acid is attached (by aminoacyl-tRNA synthetases). tRNAs cope with the degeneracy of the genetic code in two manners: having more than one tRNA (with a specific anti-codon) for a particular amino acid; and 'wobble' base-pairing, i.e. permitting non-standard base-pairing at the 3rd anti-codon position.
Source: Rfam by way of RNAcentral